AUUGAACGCUGGCGGAAUGCUUUACACAUGCAAGUCGAACGGCAGCACGGGGGCAGCCCUGGUGGCGAGUGGCGAACGGGUGAGUAAUACAUCGGAACGUGCCCGGUCGUGGGGGAUAACGUAGCGAAAGUUACGCUAAUACCGCAUACGAUCUGAGGAUGAAAGCGGGGGACCUUCGGGCCUCGCGCGAUCGGAGCGGCCGAUGUCAGAUUAGGUAGUUGGUGGGGUAAAGGCCUACCAAGCCGACGAUCUGUAGCUGGUCUGAGAGGACGACCAGCCACACUGGGACUGAGACACGGCCCAGACUCCUACGGGAGGCAGCAGUGGGGAAUUUUGGACAAUGGGCGCAAGCCUGAUCCAGCCAUUCCGCGUGCAGGACGAAGGCCUUCGGGUCGUAAACUGCUUUUGUACGGAACGAAAAGGCUCUGGCUAAUACCUGGGGCUCAUGACGGUACCGGAAGAAUAAGCACCGGCUAACUACGUG
This 484-nucleotide ribosomal RNA is filed under the name uncultured bacterium. RNAcentral describes it as "partial 16S ribosomal RNA". It matches the Rfam family "Bacterial small subunit ribosomal RNA", at positions 29 to 507 of the family's 1533-position model. The record is from RNAcentral.